RNAcentral lists this ribosomal RNA (539 nucleotides) under uncultured Geobacteraceae bacterium. Its description in RNAcentral is "bacterial SSU rRNA". It matches the Rfam family "Bacterial small subunit ribosomal RNA", at positions 9 to 526 of the family's 1533-position model. The record is from RNAcentral. Lineage: Bacteria; Pseudomonadati; Thermodesulfobacteriota; Desulfuromonadia; Geobacterales; Geobacteraceae.
GAGUUUGAUCCUGGCUCAGAACGAACGCUGGCGGCGUGCUUAACACAUGCAAGUCGAACGGGAUCCAGAGCUUGCUCUGGUGAGAGUGGCGCACGGGUGAGUAACGCGUGGAUAACCUGCCCUGGUAUCUGGAAUAACAUCUCGAAAGGGGUGCUAAUACCGGAUAAGCCCACGGCUCCUUCGGGAGCUGCGGGAAAAGGUGGCCUCUAUUUAUAAGCUACCGUAUCAGGAUGGGUCCGCGUACCAUUAGCUAGUUGGUGGGGUAAUGGCCUACCAAGGCGACGAUGGUUAGCUGGUCUGAGAGGAUGAUCAGCCACACUGGAACUGAGACACGGUCCAGACUCCUACGGGAGGCAGCAGUGGGGAAUUUUGCGCAAUGGGGGAAACCCUGACGCAGCAACGCCGCGUGAGUGAUGAAGGCUUUCGGGUCGUAAAGCUCUGUCAGAGGGGAAGAAAUGGGUCUGGCUAAUAUCCAGAUUCCUUGACGGUACCCUCAAAGGAAGCACCGGCUAACUCCGUGCCAGCAGCCGCGGUAAUAC